CCUACGGGAGGCAGCAGUGAGGAAUAUUGGUCAAUGGUCGGGAGACUGAACCAGCCAAGCCGCGUGAGGGAGGAAGGUACAGAGUAUCGUAAACCUCUUUUGUCAGGGAACAAAGGCGGGGACGUGUCCCCGGAUGAGUGUACCUGAAGAAAAAGCAUCGGCUAACUCCGUGCCAGCAGCCGCGGUAAUACGGAGAAUGCGAGCGUUAUCCGGAUUUAUUGGGUUAAAGGGGUGCGCAGGCGGUCUGUUAAGUCAGCGGUAAAACCCCGGGGCUCAACCGCGGCCCGCCGUUGAAACUGGCAGUCUCGAGUUGGAGAGAAGUAUGCGGAAUGCGCGGUGUAGCGGUGAAAUGCAUAGAUAUCGCGCAGAACUCCGAUUGCGAAGGCAGCAUGCCGGCUCCACACUGACGCUGAGGCACGAAAGCGUGGGUAUCGAACAGGAUUAGAUACCCCAGUAGUC
This 459-nucleotide ribosomal RNA is filed under the name uncultured bacterium. Its description in RNAcentral is "partial 16S ribosomal RNA". It matches the Rfam family "Bacterial small subunit ribosomal RNA", at positions 338 to 795 of the family's 1533-position model. The record is from RNAcentral.